UACGAAGGGGGCUAGCGUUGUUCGGAAUCACUGGGCGUAAAGCGCACGUAGGCGGAUUGUUAAGUCGGGGGUGAAAUCCUGAGGCUCAACCUCAGAACUGCCUUCGAUACUGGCGAUCUUGAGUCCGGAAGAGGUUGGUGGAACAGCUAGUGUAGAGGUGAAAUUCGUAGAUAUUCGCAAGAACACCAGUGGCGAAGGCGGCUCACUGGCCCGGUACUGACGCUGAGGUGCGAAAGCGUGGGGAGCAAACAGG
RNAcentral lists this ribosomal RNA (253 nucleotides) under uncultured bacterium. RNAcentral's name for it is "partial 16S ribosomal RNA". It matches the Rfam family "Bacterial small subunit ribosomal RNA", at positions 524 to 776 of the family's 1533-position model. The record is from RNAcentral.